AUUGAACGCUGGCGGCAUGCCUUACACAUGCAAGUCGAACGGUAGAGGAGCAAUCCUCGAGAGUGGCGAACGGGUGAGUAAUGCAUCGGAACGUGCCCAGUAAUGGGGGAUAGCCCGGCGAAAGCCGGAUUAAUACCGCAUACGACCUAAGGGUGAAAGAGGGGGAUCGCAAGACCUCUCGUUAUUGGAGCGGCCGAUGUCAGAUUAGGUAGUUGGUGGGGUAAAGGCCUACCAAGCCAACGAUCUGUAGCUGGUCUGAGAGGACGACCAGCCACACUGGGACUGAGACACGGCCCAGACUCCUACGGGAGGCAGCAGUGGGGAAUUUUGGACAAUGGGCGCAAGCCUGAUCCAGCCAUGCCGCGUGCGGGAAGAAGGCCUUCGGGUUGUAAACCGCUUUUGUCAGGGAAGAAAUCUUCUGGGUUAAUACCUCGGGAGGAUGACGGUACCUGAAGAAUAAGCACCGGCUAACUACGUGCCAGCCGCCGCGGUAA
Molecule: ribosomal RNA, 494 nt
Filed under: uncultured bacterium
Lineage: Bacteria
Description: partial 16S ribosomal RNA
Rfam family: Bacterial small subunit ribosomal RNA
Source: RNAcentral